AGCUGCGUCCACCUCAACUAGAAUCCGUGCAAAUGAUAAUCGUCUCUUUGUAGUUGUGAGUAAAUCAGUUGUGAUUGGUUUUCCAAUCUUUGUUGCAAUCAUACUCAGUGCAUUGGGUGUCCAAAAAUUUAGGGGCAGCCCCGGUAACGUCACCCACACCGGCAUAAUGCUAAUAUCGGUAUCAUCAAACUCGAAAAAUGGUGGGACAUGUUUUAACAUCAGUGGUCGCCCAUACACAAAAUAAGGGCCUCCUUCUAGCACUUGUGUUCUAUCCUCAGCAUUCUCAAACUUGAACACGAGCCAACCACUUUGAUGGACAAAGUACUGGUACUUUACCCCCCAUUGAUUACACAUUUGCAAGAGGGCUGUUUUGCCUGGGAAUCGUCGAGCAAAAUACCCCACCAGGCAGUAACCCCAAGCUGUGUGAUCAUCUUCAAUAUCAGCUUCCUCAAAAACAAGUAUAUCUGGCAGGUUCUCGCAGGUUUUAAGCUUGAAACCAUUCUCACGCUUACGGUUCUCCUUGAAUAAACUAGUCCACUGUGUCUUAGUGGAAUCUGAUUCCUUUUCUUGGCCUGAAAUGUUGGUUUGCUUAACUGCAGUAGAUUCAUCCUCUGAAG
This 617-nucleotide long non-coding RNA is filed under the name Olea europaea (common olive). RNAcentral describes it as "long non-coding RNA (OEUR_LNC007814)". Lineage: Eukaryota; Viridiplantae; Streptophyta; Magnoliopsida; Lamiales; Oleaceae. The record is from RNAcentral.